UUGUCCUCGAGAACAUGUGGAUGUGGGAGCAAUUCCCAGAAAGGGGAAGGUGGGCAGACAAGCCAACAGAUGUGUCCCACUAAAGAGGGUGGACUCCUGCUCUUAUCUCAGUGACAGAAGACAGCUCUGAAGGAGGAAAGAGAUCAUUCCCUUUGCUGGCCCUUGGACUGAAUACUUGGCACAGCAGUUUGGAACCAGAACAUCCCUUAAAAAUAAUCUACUUCAAUGGUUGGCAU
Molecule: long non-coding RNA, 236 nt
Filed under: Mustela putorius furo (domestic ferret)
Lineage: Eukaryota; Metazoa; Chordata; Mammalia; Carnivora; Mustelidae
Description: lncRNA (ENSMPUG00000029460.1)
Source: RNAcentral